AACGCACCUUGCACCCUCUGGUAUUCCGGAGGGUAUGCCUGUCUGAGUGUCUUGAUCAACCUUCAUCCCCCGGUCGGGCCCCGCGCCCGGCCCGGGGGCAUGGCCUUGGGUGCUGCCCCUCACACGGGCUCGCCUCAAAUGCAUCGGCGGCCGGAGGCCCCCCGUGACCUUGCGUGAUACGUUUCGCUCGGACGCGGGAGGCCCCGCCCCCUCGAACCCCCCGUCCCGCGGCCUCGCGGCCCGGGCGGACCAGUGCGUUGACCUCAGAUCAGGUAGGACUACCCGCUGAACUUAA
This 295-nucleotide unclassified non-coding RNA is filed under the name uncultured fungus. RNAcentral's name for it is "partial contains 5.8S ribosomal RNA, internal transcribed spacer 2, and large subunit ribosomal RNA". The stretch from base 1 to 52 matches the Rfam family "5.8S ribosomal RNA", at positions 103 to 154 of the family's 154-position model. Lineage: Eukaryota; Fungi. The record is from RNAcentral.